This is a long non-coding RNA of Macaca fascicularis (crab-eating macaque), 4962 nucleotides long. The record is from Ensembl. Lineage: Eukaryota; Metazoa; Chordata; Mammalia; Primates; Cercopithecidae.
AGAGCAAGACUCCGUCUAAAAAAAUAUAUGUGUGUGUGUGUGUGUGUGUAUACAUAUAUACACACACACAUAUCCUUUUUAGUUUAAAUAGUCUAUUGUAUUAGAAAGAAAAAGUUAUACACGUGAAUCAGCUCUACAGUUUUCAGAAGGUAAAUCAAAUAAUUACUAAAUUGAAGUAUAGUGAGACGAACUAUCAUGUGAAAUUAUAUUUCCCUAUAAAUUUCUUAUUGAAAUCUUGCAUUGAUUUGUGUGUGUGUGUUUGACUAAUGAAGUAAAGUGUGGGGACUACUAAAGAAUUUAGAUUUAAUGCCUAGGUAAUGGGUACUUGUCCAAUUACAGAUCUUCAUGAAGUUUCUAAUGAAAAAAACACUAAAGAGCUCUUCUUCUCAGCUGUAUCAUAAAUGACAAAAAACUCAGCUCUCUAGGCAUAAGUCAGUAAUAAGUGGAAGAGUGACUCUUCUAGUUACUAAUUCAUUUGCGGAGUUUUCCAAAGUUAGCUUGCAUUGUAAGUUUCUUAUAAGGAGGAUCAUUUCAUGAGAGUUAGUUUUUUGCUAUUGUCACAAUUGUGUAAUCAUCCCCAUAGAAGCGUGAUAUGCAUACACUCAACACAUUCAAUUUGUAAUUCUUCUUGCUAGUAAAGCCAAAAAUUCUGUUCCAUACUUAGACAUCCACGGAGGUGAUCCUUAUAAUGCAUUAUGUGUCAAAUUUUAUUCUUUUUCAAAACUCCAAAGAACAUGUGACAUUCUACUAUGUCUUUGAAUCUCUGAUUAUGUAAAUUUGUUUAUGUUAAUCUAUAACAUGUUACUUGGUCUCUUUGAAGCUCUGUUUUCAAGCUGAUGAUAAACAUAGUUAAUUGUUCACUGCAUCCCAAAAUAGUAGGCUUGGAAAGUGAUGCUUUUCUACUUUAAUUUUAAAUCUUGUACACUUUAUAAGAAAGAAGUAAGCCUAUCCCCAUAUUAGGCAAGUCAGAUUAAAUGUUAGUUCCAUUAAUUCAGAGAAAGUAGGCUCAGUUGAUGAUGAUUCAAUGCCAGUUGAAAAAUAAACAGAUAUGCAAAGUCUUGGUUUCUUCCUAUAAUUUCUUACCAUUUUUUUCAGUUUCUUUGUUGUUCUAUGAAAUCUUUAGUUAGGUUAUGAUAGAAGGCCAUGGUACCUCAUUGUUCUUUAACUCCAGUGGUUGGUUGUUUUUAAUUCCAUUAAUGGUAGUUUUUUGGUUUUUUUGUUUGUUUGUUUUUUGUGUUUUAUUUUUUAUUUUUUCGAUAUUUCAAACAUUUUCUGUGAAAGGAGAAAGGAAAGAAGAGCUUUGACUUACAAACUGACUUGAAAGCUAUUCCAGCAAUUGGUUGUCUUUGAAGUAGGCAAUUUACCCUUUUUUUUCCCCCUUCAAAAUCGGUUAUACUACAUAUUUCCUUUUUGAAACCGGAAAGAGUGAACUGUGCAUCACAGUUCUCUUAUCUAUAGCAAAUCUAUAACUCCUGAAUCCUUUCUUCCAGACCCCACCCACCCUGGGGGCUACUUCUCCACCAUUAGUUUAUCUUCAUCAGAGAAUUACAAGAGGCAGAGCAGCACAACCUUGUGCUUUCUACUCUAAAGGUGUUGCUUCCCCAGACAACUGAAACUUGAGUUAAGCCCAUGCCCCAGGAAAAGAAAGGUCAGGUCAGGAAGUUAUUUUGCUUUCUGAGAGGCUACAGAGAUGACAGCAAAAGAGAUGAAGAGCCUUGGCACCUACUCCAGAAAUUGCUCUUGACUGCCAGACUUCGAUCUAAUCUCUAUGUCACAUCAUCGGCAUUCACUGUGUACCUCAUACACAAAAGCAGAAGAGUAGCUGGAUUUCUUUAAAAUUGUGCCCUUCAUUUGUUUCCCUUGCAUGUUCUAUUUCCCCAAUUAACUUUGUGAGCCCUGGGCAAAUUAGUUAACCUCACUGGGCCUCAAAGACCUCAUCUGUAAAAUGAAUGGUUUAGAAUAGAUGAUCUUUAUGAUCCCUUCCAUUGCGAACAUUCUAUGCUGUGAAAUCUCAAGGCUGUAAACUAUAUGAGAGUAGGAGCCAAUUUUUUUUUAUCAUUUUUUUAAUCUCCCCACAGGGCCUAAUGUAACUUUGACUGUACUACCUUGCUUUCACUAUGUGAAGUAGAUUUUGAAGACAGCUCUAAUAUGUACUAAACUCGAUUAGAAAUUAGACAUCCCAUUUUAGUUGAAAGUCAGAUUAUUAGGUGUAGAUAUUAUAUGAACUUGCUUGUUUCAAAAGGAAAAAAACAUUCUGGGAAAUGAAUCAUUGGGAUGGAAUUAUGUAACCCCAUUUAGGAAAACAGUACUUUAAUAAUAGGCUAUGAAAGAGUUAUGGGUUGAAUUGUCACCCAAAAAGGUAUGUUUAAGUCCUAAUCCCCAGUAUUUGUGAAUAGGACCUUGUUUGUGAUUGGAGGCUUUGAAAAUGUAAUCAAGUUAAUAUAUGGUCAUACUGGAUUAGGGUGCACCCUAAAUCCAAUGACUGGUGUCCUUAUAAGUAGGCCAUGUGGAACACAAAGAUACACAGGGAGAAUGCCACGUAACUGUGGAAGCAUAGAUUGGAGUGAUGUGGCUGCCAAGGAAUCCCAAGGAUUGAUGGCUACUGUAAAAAGCUAGGAGAGAGAAGUGCAACAAAUUCUCCAUCGGAACCUUCAAAAGAACCAACCCUACCUGUACUCUAACUUCAGAAUUCUUGUAUCCAGAGCUGCAAGAGAAUACAUUUCGGUUGUUGUAAGUCACCCAGUCUGUCGUAAUUUAUUACGGCAGACCUAGGAAACUAAUACAGAAGAUGUGGACACUGGCCUAGGAAAAGUCCCCAAAGAAUACAUACAGCUCUGGACUGAAACAGUCAUAGCUUGCAACUACUGUGGGACAUCUACUUUCAGUCUAGGAUGUCUUCAUAUUUUAUAAAAUGUAAAUCUAGAUAGUAAUAGAACAUUAAGAUCUUUGGAGCAACUCACCAUUCCUUACAAGAUCAGGACCGAUCUUAUACAAACCCUGAUCACAUUUGUUAUAAUUAUUACUGAUCCCUUGAGAGUCACCUUUGACCCAGCAUAUCAUACCCACAUGCCUAAGAGUAAGCUGCAGAAAGACUGUUUCUUAGAAUGGUCGUCCAUUAUUGACUACCCUCUUCUACCUUAUGCAUGUUUCUUUUGUCCUUUUUUUGUUAACCAUUUAUAAAGUUAGAUGCUAAAGAAUUUUGAGCUCAGAAAUAAUAUUUCCAAAGAAACAAUGUGUAAAUCAAUUUAAGCUGUUUACUUGCCCAUUGGGAAUAACCUCUCUCUUACUUUCUACCCAUGAAAACUUCACCCAGGCUUUCACCAUGCAUAGCUCCGAUCCCAUCUACCUCAUCAAGGCUUGGUCGAAUCCCCCAUUUCGAAGUAAUCUGCUUGCCGCAAUUACAUAACUUAUACUCUCUGUGUAGUUCUGUUGACACUUAGCAAAAAGUACCCUAUAUUAUAGUUUUGUUUUUACAUCUGUGUGUCUUAUUGUUAAAGAAAAAAUUAUUAUGACACUUGUUAAAGAUGGUAAGGCAGACUUCAUUCAGAGGGACUACUACAGUGGAAUUUUGUAGUACGGUACUGAGAUUAAGCUUAACUCCAAACACAAGAAGUACCAAGUGGACAUUUAUAGCCAUGAACCAGGGUGUGGGGCGAUUGAUAGAAAAUUACUAAGAGGAAACAUCAGGCCUAUGGGCAUUCCAGCUAAAGUGACUUGACAGGAUUCUUGCUGAAGUCAGACCAAGAUGAUAAGAUAUCCAGGGUGGGGAAUAAGGAAUUUGAUCAGAUAUCAAGGGUGGGGGAUCUGCACUAAACUAACCCAGUAGUAUUUUUGCUAAAACAGGACUAAAUGAGCCAGGGACAGAGCCUAAGUUUGGGUCUAGUUAAAAAGGGAGCUCUGAAGAAUCUGACUAAAGUUUGGUCAAAGAAGAGAGUCUUUGUCAUUAUCUCCUCAAUGAGAUUCUAGAGAAUAGGAAUUAUAAUUCAUGCUCUUUUGUAUCUCUACUCCCUACUGCCCCCACCCCCAUGAAAAACAGUGUAUGCAUGUCAUAAAGUAGUUUGUAGUUGAGUAUUUUUCAAUGAUGGUUGACUAAUUUUGACAGAGCCGACACCUUAAUUCACCAGUUAAAUUGGCUCUAGGCACAGCCUUCCACAACUCAUCAUUAUUUGACUAAAUGAAGACAAUAUAUUUUAAGACUCUGGCACAGAAUUUCUGGUUAACAGUGGUUGGCAUAAUUUAUUCUCUUGCCUGCUAUUUUCAAGUGAUGUUACUGCUUUGAACUCAUUUUUUAAAGUAGUAUUUAUAAAUAUAACUGGUAAAAGUGUGGCAUCUUUGGCCAAUGAAAAGAAUUGCUGUCAGCUUGAGAAAAGAAAUGUAAAGCACUAAGUAUACUAGAAAUUGCAGACAUCCUCACAAAAGUGAUGGAUUAAUGACCACAUACAGCAUUAUGAAAGCUAGUUAUGGUUUGCUUAAACCAGUCUCUCUCUUUAUGGCAUUCUCAAUCUUUUUAAACAGCUAGGAUAUAAUAACAUUUUAAAAAUUAAAGUAUUUCACAUAACCAAGAACUUGAUAUGAAAUGAGCAACAUUAAGCACAAAACAAUUGAAGCUUCAGAUACUGGAGCAGGCAAGAAUUUUAAACAGCCCAAAUGAAUAAGGAUGCAACAUUGUUGUGCUUCUUCAGAUGCAGGAAUAAUCAGGCUCAAAGGUUAGCAGAAAGAGAUUUUAUAGCAAUAAUGGCUCCCCAUACCAUUUUUCUCUUGUGACUUUGACUCACAAAGGUGAAGCUUUCAUUUGAAGAUUUGAUACAACGCAGCUGCCAACAGCAGGGGGGAGAAUUUGGCCAAAUGGCUGGACUCUCUCAAACAUCUAUGAGGGACAGAGAUUGAGAGGGAGAGACGGGGAGAAAUUGAGAGAGAUAGAAAAGGAAAAGAGGAGGGAACCAAAAGGAAAAAAAAAAAAAA